RNAcentral lists this ribosomal RNA (482 nucleotides) under uncultured bacterium. RNAcentral describes it as "partial 16S ribosomal RNA". It matches the Rfam family "Bacterial small subunit ribosomal RNA", at positions 30 to 507 of the family's 1533-position model. The record is from RNAcentral.
AUUGAACGCUGGCGGCAUGCCUUACACAUGCAAGUCGAACGGUAACAGGUCUUCGGAUGCUGACGAGUGGCGAACGGGAGAGUAAUACAUCGGAACGUGCCCGAUCGUGGGGGAUAACGAGGCGAAAGCUUUGCUAAUACCGCAUACGAUCUACGGAUGAAAGCGGGGGAUCUUCGGACUUCGAGCGGCCGGAGCGGCCGAUGGCAGAUUAGGUAGUUGGUGGGAUAAAAGCUUACCAAGCCGACGAUCUGUAGCUGGUCUGAGAGGAUGAUCAGCCACACUGGGACUGAGACACGGCCCAGACUCCUACGGGAGGCAGCAGUGGGGAAUUUUGGACAAUGGGCGAAAGCCUGAUCCAGCCAUGCCGCGUGCAGGAUGAAGGCCUUUGGGUUGUAAACUGCUUUUGUACGGAACGAAAAGCCUCUUUCUAAUAAAGAGGGGUCAUGACGGUACCGUAAGAAUAAGCACCGGCUAACUACGUG